Non-coding RNA from Odocoileus virginianus texanus, 400 nucleotides. NCBI's taxonomy places the organism in Eukaryota, Metazoa, Chordata, Mammalia, Artiodactyla, Cervidae. The record is from RefSeq and is a predicted model, not a curated record.
UCUUUCUGGAACAGGAAGUUUACCCUCUCUAGAGCAACAAGCAACAGGAUCAGACUUCCCCUCGGAGUCGGAGAUAUCAGCUGAACCUGCAUGAGGUUUCUGCAACCACAUGUCCGUCCUGGCGAGGAUUCUGCCCGAGACCCAGGACGGCAAGGCCCCUGAGCGGGGGGAGCGUGUGGCCCCUGCCCCACUGUGGGGGGUCCCUGUUGGCGUCACUGAGAAAGACAAAGGACAGGCUGGAAUACAAUUUUCUGUAGCAUACGUGACAGACGAAGGAGGGAUAUAAACAUACAAAGCAACAGGAGAAGAAACGGCCGAGAGAAAAGCAUAUGGGGAAGCUGCCACUAAACAGCGACAUUAGGGACCGUCCCUGCGUGCCUGCAGAUGCUGGGCACAGGGG